This 801-nucleotide ribosomal RNA is filed under the name Streptomyces lavendulae. RNAcentral describes it as "bacterial SSU rRNA". It matches the Rfam family "Bacterial small subunit ribosomal RNA", at positions 68 to 884 of the family's 1533-position model. The record is from RNAcentral. Lineage: Bacteria; Bacillati; Actinomycetota; Actinomycetes; Kitasatosporales; Streptomycetaceae.
GAUGAAGCCUUUCGGGGUGGAUUAGUGGCGAACGGGUGAGUAACACGUGGGCAAUCUGCCCUUCACUCUGGGACAAGCCCUGGAAACGGGGUCUAAUACCGGAUAACACUCUGUCCCGCAUGGGACGGGGUUAAAAGCUCCGGCGGUGAAGGAUGAGCCCGCGGCCUAUCAGCUUGUUGGUGGGGUAAUGGCCUACCAAGGCGACGACGGGUAGCCGGCCUGAGAGGGCGACCGGCCACACUGGGACUGAGACACGGCCCAGACUCCUACGGGAGGCAGCAGUGGGGAAUAUUGCACAAUGGGCGAAAGCCUGAUGCAGCGACGCCGCGUGAGGGAUGACGGCCUUCGGGUUGUAAACCUCUUUCAGCAGGGAAGAAGCGAAAGUGACGGUACCUGCAGAAGAAGCGCCGGCUAACUACGUGCCAGCAGCCGCGGUAAUACGUAGGGCGCAAGCGUUGUCCGGAAUUAUUGGGCGUAAAGAGCUCGUAGGCGGCUUGUCACGUCGGAUGUGAAAGCCCGGGGCUUAACCCCGGGUCUGCAUUCGAUACGGGCUAGCUAGAGUGUGGUAGGGGAGAUCGGAAUUCCUGGUGUAGCGGUGAAAUGCGCAGAUAUCAGGAGGAACACCGGUGGCGAAGGCGGAUCUCUGGGCCAUUACUGACGCUGAGGAGCGAAAGCGUGGGGAGCGAACAGGAUUAGAUACCCUGGUAGUCCACGCCGUAAACGUUGGGAACUAGGUGUUGGCGACAUUCCACGUCGUCGGUGCCGCAGCUAACGCAUUAAGUUCCCCGCCUGGGGAGUACG